This 253-nucleotide ribosomal RNA is filed under the name uncultured bacterium. RNAcentral's name for it is "partial 16S ribosomal RNA". It matches the Rfam family "Bacterial small subunit ribosomal RNA", at positions 524 to 776 of the family's 1533-position model. The record is from RNAcentral.
UACGUAGGGUGCGAGCGUUAAUCGGAAUUACUGGGCGUAAAGUGUGCGCAGGCGGCCAUGCAAGUCGAGUGUGAAAGCCCCGGGCUUAACUUGGGAAUUGCGCUCGAAACUACGUGGCUGGAGUGUGGCAGAGGAAGGUGGAAUUCCACGUGUAGCGGUGAAAUGCGUAGAGAUGUGGAGGAACACCAAUGGCGAAGGCAGCCUUCUGGGCCAACACUGACGCUCAGGAGCGAAAGCGUGGGGAGCAAACAGG